RNAcentral lists this ribosomal RNA (168 nucleotides) under Balsamorhiza hispidula. Its description in RNAcentral is "5.8S ribosomal RNA". It matches the Rfam family "5.8S ribosomal RNA". From Rfam's summary of the family: 5.8S ribosomal RNA (5.8S rRNA) is a component of the large subunit of the eukaryotic ribosome. It is transcribed by RNA polymerase I as part of the 45S precursor that also contains 18S and 28S rRNA. Functionally, it is thought that 5.8S rRNA may be involved in ribosome translocation. The record is from RNAcentral. Lineage: Eukaryota; Viridiplantae; Streptophyta; Magnoliopsida; Asterales; Asteraceae.
AAACGACUCUCGGCAACGGAUAUCUCGGCUCACGCAUCGAUGAAGAACGUAGCAAAAUGCGAUACUUGGUGUGAAUUGCAGAAUCCCGUGAACCAUCGAGUUUUUGAACGCAAGUUGCGCCCGAGGCCAUCCGGUUUAGGGCACGUCUGCCUGGGCGUCACGCAUCAC